This 251-nucleotide ribosomal RNA is filed under the name uncultured Staphylococcus sp. Its description in RNAcentral is "partial 16S ribosomal RNA". It matches the Rfam family "Bacterial small subunit ribosomal RNA", at positions 89 to 334 of the family's 1533-position model. Lineage: Bacteria; Bacillati; Bacillota; Bacilli; Caryophanales; Staphylococcaceae. The record is from RNAcentral.
ACGUUAGCGGCGGACGGGUGAGUAACACGUGGAUAACCUACCUAUAAGACUGGGAUAACUUCGGGAAACCGGAGCUAAUACCGGAUAAUAUUUCGAACCGCAUGGUUCGAUAGUGAAAGAUGGUUUUGCUAUCACUUAUAGAUGGACCCGCGCCGUAUUAGCUAGUUGGUAAGGUAACGGCUUACCAAGGCGACGAUACGUAGCCGACCUGAGAGGGUGAUCGGCCACACUGGAACUGAGACACGGUCCAG